AGUGAACGCUGGCGGUAGGCCUAACACAUGCAAGUCGAACGGCAGCACAGUAAGAGCUUGCGCUUACAGGGGGCGAGGGGCGGGCGGGGGCGGGAUACAUCCGAAUCUGCUUUUUCGAGGGGGAUAACGCAGGGGCACAUACCGUAAUAGCGCAUACGACGUACGGGUGGGAGCUGCGGAUCUUACGACCUUGCGCGAUUGUAUGAGCCGAUGUCGGAUUAGCUAGUUGGCGGGGUAAAGGCCCACCAAGGCGACGAUCCGUAGCUGGUCUGAGAGGAUGAUCAGCCACACUGGAACUGAGACACGGUCCAGACUCCUACGGGAGGCAGCAGUGGGGAAUAUUGGACAAUGGGCGAAAGCCUGAUCCAGCCAUACCGCGUGGGUGAAGAAGGUCUUCGGGUUGUAAAGCCCUUUUGUUGGGAAAGAAAAGCAGCAGGUUAAUACCCCGCUGUUCUGACGUUACCCAAAGAAUAAGCACCGGCUAACUUCGUG
This 492-nucleotide ribosomal RNA is filed under the name uncultured bacterium. Its description in RNAcentral is "partial 16S ribosomal RNA". It matches the Rfam family "Bacterial small subunit ribosomal RNA", at positions 29 to 507 of the family's 1533-position model. The record is from RNAcentral.